GUUGUCCGGAUUUAUUGGGCGUAAAGAGCUCGUAGGCGGCUUGUUGCGUCGGCUGUGAAAACCCAUGGCUUAACCGUGGGCUUGCAGCCGAUACGGGCAGGCUAGAGUUCGGUAGGGGAGACUGGAAUUCCUGGUGUAGCGGUGAAAUGCGCAGAUAUCAGGAGGAACACCGGUGGCGAAGGCGGGUCUCUGGGCCGAUACUGACGCUGAGGAGCGAAAGCGUGGGGAGCGAACAGG
Molecule: ribosomal RNA, 237 nt
Filed under: uncultured bacterium
Lineage: Bacteria
Description: partial 16S ribosomal RNA
Rfam family: Bacterial small subunit ribosomal RNA
Source: RNAcentral